GGGUGCUAGCUCAGUUGGUAGAGCAGCUGACUCUUAAUCAGCGGGUCCACAGUUCAAUCCUGUGCGCACCCACCA
Molecule: transfer RNA, 75 nt
Filed under: Mesorhizobium amorphae CCBAU 01583
Lineage: Bacteria; Pseudomonadati; Pseudomonadota; Alphaproteobacteria; Hyphomicrobiales; Phyllobacteriaceae
Description: tRNA-Lys
Rfam family: tRNA
About the family: Transfer RNA (tRNA) molecules are approximately 80 nucleotides in length. Their secondary structure includes four short double-helical elements and three loops (D, anti-codon, and T loops).
Source: RNAcentral